This 1183-nucleotide unclassified non-coding RNA is filed under the name Hevea brasiliensis (rubber tree). Lineage: Eukaryota; Viridiplantae; Streptophyta; Magnoliopsida; Malpighiales; Euphorbiaceae. The record is from RNAcentral.
UUGGAUGGACAAAUAACUGAGAUAGUUUAUAAGGGUAGCCAUAACCAUCCUAAGCCUCAAUCUACUAGGAGAUCAUCUUCUUCUUUCAUCAGCUUCCAAUCAAGCAAUGAUAGCUCCUAAUCUUGCAUCAAGUGAGAUGCAAGAUCAAUCACUUGUCACCCAUGGCAGUGGACAAAUGGAUUCUGUUGCAACCCCUGAGAAUUCUUCAAUAUCCAUAGGGGAUGAUGAUUUCGAUUCGCAGAAGAGUAAAUCCAGGAGCGAUGAAUUUGAUGAAGAUGAACCAGAGGCCAAAAGAUGGAAAGCGGAAGGUGAAAAUGAAGAAAUUUCAGCACCUGGAAGCAGAACAGUGAGAGAACCUAGAGUUGUGGUUCAAACCACUAGUGACAUUGACAUUCUUGAUGAUGGAUACAGAUGGAGAAAAUAUGGACAGAAAGUGGUCAAGGGAAAUCCAAAUCCUAGGAGCUACUACAAGUGUACACAUCCAGGAUGUCCUGUAAGAAAGCAUGUAGAGAGAGCAUCCCAUGAUCUUAGGGCAGUGAUCACAACCUAUGAGGGGAAGCACAACCAUGAUAUUCUUGCUGCUCGUGGCAGCAACUCUGCGAAUAGGCCAUUGCCUGAGAACAACAACGGCAGCAUCAAUAGCAACAAAAAUGCAGCUAUGGCGGUAAGGCCAUUGGCUUUGAUCCAUCAUUCUAACAACUUGACAAACCCACUUCGCCAUCUAAGGCUACCAGCAACAUCUGAAGGGGAAGCACACUUUUCACUAGAGAUGCUUCAGAAUCCAGACAAUUUUACUUUCUCAGGAUUUGGCAAUGUACACUAAUCAAUCAUCAACAGAAUGUUUUUUCCGGAGCCAAGGAAGAACCAAGGGCUGAAAUGUUCCUGGAAUCAUUGCUAUGCUGAAAUUUGCAGGUUUCUGGAGGAUUAAAAAUCAGAAAGAAUAGAAAAGAAGGUCAAGUUCAUUAGAUUAAUUGCAUAUUGUUUUUUUGUUGUGUAUAUUUUACAGCCAAGGCAUUUUGAUUUUGUAGUGUUGUAAAAGUUGUAUUGGUGUAGGCUAGGGAGUGUUAUCUAAAUUUAUUUUUUUAUUGUUUUGGGGCCUUUAUCAGUCAAAAUUACAAGCCUCGAUUCAAUAUGGUAUAUCACACAUUGGGUUAAAAUUUAGAUUCAUUUUGAUUACCAUGAC